GCGCCCCGCCCAUGCGGCCAGGGCAACCAAUGGCAACGCGUCGCCGGCGGGAGAUUUACGCUCCGGCCUGGGCGGUGCCUAUCCUGAUUGGCUGAGCCUCGGCGACCGGUGGACCGCCGGCAAUGGCGGGGUUUUCGGUUUUCAAACUCGCCAGGCGGGCGGGAAAGACCAGCCGGUUUAACUGACCCGCGGGAGAAAGGCGCCCAGCUGGAGAGUGGGCCAGCCAGGUGGUUCCUGCUGCGGGACCCCCACCAUUUAGGCUGGGAGAAGACAGGAAUUAAAUCUUUUCAGAAUGGUAAACUCCGUGGAGGUGAUAAAACGGCUCCCGGCCUUACCUUGCCCUUGACGUCGAGGAUGAAGACAGCCGAGGCGGACAUUGUGGCGGCCGGCGGACCUGGGAGGCGGGGAGGGAGCGCCGGGAGGCGACGGCGGCGCCGCUUCCUUCUUCCUGCGGAAGCGCCGGCGCGCAGGUGAGAGCCCAGGCCCUGCCCUCCAUGUCCUCCAAGUGGGAAUCCUCCUAGCAACAAUUAGAAACAAUGCCUUGAGCUCUGGAGGCCUAUUCCAUUCCACAGAUGGGAAAGCUGAGGCACCUAACCGCGCAGGAUACAACGCCUGCCCCUUUGUGCUUUCUCAGCCUCUUUCUCAAGCAGCAAGAAGGUCUCCUCUUCAAGGAGUCCUCUCUGACCUUCCAAUCCACGUCUAGGUCACGUCUGUUCUCUGGGCUCUCUCAAAUGUCCCAUGCUUCCCUGUCACAGCUGUGUUGCACCGUGUUUUUAAAAAUCUAUUAAAAAAAAAAACCCUUUUAUUAUCA
Long non-coding RNA from Acinonyx jubatus (cheetah), 811 nucleotides. RefSeq lists it as uncharacterized. The record is from RefSeq and is a predicted model, not a curated record. NCBI's taxonomy places the organism in Eukaryota, Metazoa, Chordata, Mammalia, Carnivora, Felidae. The transcript is spliced from 5 exons.